GUAUGUGAUCAUACCAGCACUAAAGCACCGAAUCCCAUCAGAACUCCGAAGUUAAGUGUGCUUGGGCGAGAGUAGUACUAGGAUGGGUGACCUCCUGGGAAGUCCUCGUGUUGCAUUCC
This 119-nucleotide ribosomal RNA is filed under the name Triticum aestivum (bread wheat). Lineage: Eukaryota; Viridiplantae; Streptophyta; Magnoliopsida; Poales; Poaceae. The record is from RNAcentral.